ACCUGUCAAAGCCAUAAAUUGUUAUUCACAGCCUGCAGAACUGAGGACUGAGAUGGUUGUCGGUGGCCACAAGCACCCAUCACCCUCCUCAACCACCAACCCCUCAUCCUCUCCUGCUACUACACAUGAAUAAUGCAGGAGGCCUCCUCGAUCGUCGCUACCAACAUGCUGCGGCAUGUUUUAUUCACACCAAAGUCAGACAGCCUCAAAGGCAUCAGCAACAGCUCGGUGUGUGCUUGCUCUGACCUGCAGAGGAGAGUGACCCCAGUUCUUAAUGGAAGUCAAAGAGCAACAAACAUGUUUACCUGGACAGCUGUCCUGAAGAUUAGAUGUUCCCCAACUGUUUUGUGCAUCGUCUGACCCCAUCACCUCUGCUCACUACUGUGGGGUAAGAGAGGCUUUGGACACGCUUUGCUGACCCUCCACGCUCAUGUCAACAUGGAUGACUGCACGUUGAUGAACCAGUUACAAAACUUGCUUCUCUACACCUUUCAGAGACUGGAAACCUGAAACGGCCAGAAGAAGCCAGAAGCUUCACGAUGCUGGUGGAUAAGAUCACGCCUUCACUCACCCUUUUUUUAGAGGCACUCACUGAUCUGUGGGCUGAGUUUCCUUCAUGGGGGAAGUUGUUUGUCAAAGACAGAUCCCCUCAGGAGCUCUGCUGGAUUUAAGGGCGUCCUCCACUGUUCAGGGGGCACAUUUCUCAGAACUGCACUCAUUCAUGAUGAGUGAAAGCAUCCAGAGUUAAAAAAGAGCUGCCUCUCAUCUCCAUUCAGCAGCCCUGGCCCCUAAUCUCUGCUGGGACGGCCCACAGUGACAAAGAAAGGCUGACACUCACAUCAAGCACAAGACUUUGUAAUAAAGGUUCUGGGUAACAGACAG
Monopterus albus (swamp eel) is the source of this 882-nucleotide long non-coding RNA. RefSeq lists it as uncharacterized. The transcript is spliced from 5 exons. NCBI's taxonomy places the organism in Eukaryota, Metazoa, Chordata, Actinopteri, Synbranchiformes, Synbranchidae. The record is from RefSeq and is a predicted model, not a curated record.